GGGUUAGGUGAGAGUUGUUUCUGGUACCUACUGGGGGUAGGGAAUUCAAUUUGAAUUUGGAUUAAAGGUUUUAGGGUUUAUACAUAGGUCUAUGUGUAAUUUGUGAGUUAGUUGGAGAACGGAUGGGUUUGGUCGCAAAUCGGCAGGUAAAUCGGAUGAAACGAAAUCGUAGGUUUAUUGUUCGCGUCGUACUGAAUGCGAUGGCUCAAUCCGUUCGGAAUUCUGAUGAACGGAUUGCCGGAUAUCGCACGAUGUUCGAAAAGGGGUCUAAUGUGACUAAUUGGAAUUUUCGCAAAAGUCCCCAUAUUUUAUGUACCGAAUCGCGUGAAAUCAGACGUGGAGGUGCGUACGUGUAAAAUACUCGCACUGUGAAGGACUGAAUUUCUAAUAAUCAGUUUAGUAGGACUUGUGUGCAAAAUUAACAAUCAUACACAGGCUUUCUAGGCUAGGGUUUCAUCAUGGAAAACCCUAACCGUGGUUUACCUUCUCCCUCAGCCGACCUCCCUGCGACACCUCUGCACCUUUUCCCUAGCCGUGCGCGCAUCACGGUCGCCGGCACGUGCUCCGGCCGCCGGAAAACACCUUCACCAUCACCUUCUUCACCUAUCCUCCAUCCUCCUCGGCCUUCUGACCUCGGGAAGCCACCCCGUGAGUCGGGCCUGCGCUCUCUGGCACAGACUUCCCCUCCGGUGUCACCCUCGCUGGCCCCCGUCGUCGGCGCGCGCCGCCGACGCCGCCGGAGCCACCUUGCUCCCUGCGGCCAACCCGCAGUCACCCAGGCCGAGCCUGGGUGAUCUCUGCCUCCGCGCAUCGCCGCUGCCUAGCCUCGGUCCCGCCGCCCUCAUCUGGCCUCUGGCGUGCCCCCGCGCGCCAUCGUCGCCGCUCCCGACGCCGCCGGCCGCCGCUCUCCCUCCCAGCGGCCGCCCAGACCUGAAGCGGGCCGAGAUCUUGUCUUCUCGACCACCGCGCGUCGCCGCCACCCGCACCAAGGCGCGCCGACCUUCCUCGACCUCCGGCGACGUGCCGCCGUCGUCCCGACCUUCCUCCGGCCGCCGCCAUGUCCGCCGCUACCCUUGGAGCCCGUGGUGAACCCGUGCAGGCUCGGUUUGGUCCAGCACCGCCGAACGGCAUGAGCACGGGUCCCGGAUGGUCGGCCGCACUCGUCCGCCGUCGUCGCCCGCGCCGCCGGAGCUCCCCGUCGGCCGAAACGAGCCCGUGUUCUCUUCGGGUUGGGAUGCCUAGGGCAUCAUUGGCCGUCGUCGCCGCCGCCUCCCGUCGCCUGCGGACGCCAGCCCUGGCCACCUCGGACCUUCCGCACCAACCCCUGGCCGGCCUGCCCGUCGUCCGGUCGCCGCCGGCCACCCCGUGCCCUGCUAGCUCCGGUAAGCUUAGUUUAGUUUUCUGCACCUUGUCUUAGGGUUCCGGUCACUGUUCGUGUGAACCGAGGCCACCCCGAGUCUUCCGAAGGUGAGCACGAUGAUCCUGGUUCAGUGCUGAUCAUCGUGGCCACCUUCAUUGGAGCCUGAGAGCCUCUGAUUUGCGAGAUAAGCAUGUUUUUCAUGCUGUGCGCGCAGUCUGCUGAAGUUCGUCUCGCUCCCGCGCUCGCCACAGUGGCCGGCCAUGCUCCGAAGUGUGAGCACGGCCUCCGAUAUGUCGAUACCUAUCAGUGAGAGUCUCGGCUCAACUCGAGUGUCCUCGGUUUGCGCUAUCGGACCGUAAAGUCCCGUAAAUAGCAUGAAAUAAUAUAAUUUUACGUAUUAUAGGGGACUUUUGUGCAAUUGUACACUUCGUGGCUGCUAUGGUAGGUGUGUAAGGACAGCGGGUGUCCUCUGGACUAGUUGUCCAAGGCCCCAAGUUUUACAGAAGUCAAAUGUUGAUUUCCGACGCGUUUUUCGGCGAAAUCCGCCUACGGAACGCGAGUUUGGUUCGGAAUUAAUCCGACGGAGCUUCGUGAUGGAUUGUUUAGUCGCUGAGCCUAGUUGGCUGGUCACCCGUGUCAUUUCGAGGUUUCGGAAAUGACGGGUGAGCGACGGGGGAGUUCCGGUGCGGUUUUCGGGACUUCGGGUUUGUUCGGUAAUCGGUUUUGGGAAACCGGUUCCCGUGGUUUUGGUGAGUGGGGAUUGUGAGUUAGCGUUACAUGUCAGUGGGUUAGAUCUUAACCCGUUGGACCUUUCGUAGGCUCGGUUGCACCGUCUUUAUAGUCGAGAGAUCUUCGUCAGACACGUACAGGUGGGUACUUCGAUCCGACGUUGGUACAGUGGUGCCGCUCGGUGAUGGUUUCUUACCCUUACUCUUUUGUUAUUAUCCAUGCAUAUGUUAUAUGUUGAGCUUUGCACCUCUAUUGUUUACAUUACACCCACGUUGUUUGAUUAUACUCUACUCAGACGUUUCCAUGCUUAGUAUCAUGUGUAGGAGUAUAGUCUAUCAGUGUGUGAUACCAUGUUUCCUUGUUGCUCUACUUAGCUAUUCUGCAUACCCUGUUUCAUGUUUAUAGUAGAGCGAUUUCGUGAUUAUCUGUGAGAUCAGCGAUCUAGUCGGUCGAUUCUAGUAUUUAGUAUUUGUGACCUGUUCGGUGAGUUCCUCGACCCUUGUUGUCUGAUGACCGUUGAGGUCGGUAUACCCUGAGGGGUGGGAUUGUCGGUUAGUUGCCGACGGAUGAUUAUACUUUAACUUAUAUCACUAUUUGACAUGUUUGUGACCACAGUCGGUCAGUGCAUCAUAUCCUAUACUUGUGACAUGAUUGGUCGAGUUUAUAUCCUAUACUUGUGACAUGAUUGGUCGAGUUUCAUAUGCCUAGUUAAUCUGAGUGGUAGUCCUUGUGUUCAUUGAGCAGUUUUGCAUAUGUUUGAGAGGAUGUCGAUGUUGUCCCAUCCUAUUGACCUGAGUGGUCGGUUCUUGUGCUUCCUUACACGUUGAUGACCUAUACGGUCGAUGGGGCCGCUGGGGGCAGGAUUGUCGGCUGUUUGCCGACGGUUGAUCAUUUAGCAUUUUGCAUUGAUCGCGCCGAUACUCGUCGCAUUUCAUGAACACUGGCGGUCUGAUCCACGCACAGGAGUGGUCUUUUCGGAAAGUGUUUGCAUGUGACAACCGUGAGCCCUAGAGGGUUAUAUUGCACUGAGAGUAGUGGUGGCAUUGGCUUGAGAGGUCUGCGGUGCUGACCAAGAGAGCAUUAGUUUCAGAUUGGGUAACUUUAGAACUUCUUGACGCGGUUGACGCAUAUGUCUAUAGUAGCAGUCGUUGCAUGCAUUUUUACGCUGUUCAUACUUUAUAGUUGUCUGCUACAUAGUAGAUAUUCAUGUAUGCUUUCUGUUUCCAGUUACAGUAACAGUACCGUUAUUCCAGUCUAGUUCUUACUUUCUUUCAGUUUAUUGCUACUUAUUCGGAAUAUCUGCCCAUUACUUACAUAUCUCUUUCAUUUAUUAUUGUUCACUAUAUUCCAGCUGACACCGUGUGUGUGUUAUAUGCUCUUCCUGAUCCGGUGAGUACUCCUCGCCUUCUUCGGCUUGCGGUACCCGCUGGGAGGGGAGACAUGUUUACAUGUUCUCACCUCCCCCACUAUUUUUCAGGUAUCGUGGGCGGUGAGGGUUGAGACGAGACAUGAGAUACGUAGUGAUCGAUAGAGCUUCCGACUCAGGUUAUUUUCGUUUAGUUAUUACCCCUAUUAUUUCUGUUGAUGUAUAGUUUAGUUGGUUUAUGUGGUUCAGUAUUUCAUUACGUUAAAAUAAAAGGAUUUCUGAAUUUUGUAAAAUAAAAGGUUUUCUACCCCUCCUGGUAGCGUUUUUAAAAGACAAAAGUUCCUGUGUAGGGAACAGUUUUCAAAAGAUUUUAUGUGAAUUUUGCAUCUUAGUAUUUCAAAACCUGUUUCUAUGGUUGGAAGCAUUUUAACUGAUAGAUGUGAAAGUAUGUUUAAAUAUUGAAUGUAUAAAUGUAAACCUGUGAUGUGAAUGGUGUAUAAAUAUAUAAUUGUUGGUUAUUUGUAUGUUCAUUUGGUUGUGGUUGUACCUGGGUUGCUUUUUGUACUUGUGCGACGCCGUGCAAAUACAGGGGAGACUCUGUCCGUGUGCACAGUGGAUUUCCCGUAUUUGUGGCGGAUCUGGCAUACUCUGGGGUCAGGGUUUUCAAAAAAAAAAAAUUCAGACGCCUUUUCGCUAUGUUUUAAACUAAAAGGGACCCCAGGGCGUGACAGAUUAAAGUGGUAUCAGAGCGAGGUUACAACCACAACACCAUUCACAAGUUGUUUUGAAAAGUAAAUGAAACUGAACCAUUGGUUAGGUUGACCCUUAGGAAGACCUACGGUGUAUAGGCACGUGAGAGCGGGGUUAGGGCUUGUGUCCCCGUGUGCAUUCGAGUUGGGUAAACUCCGAGUGCAUGGUGUUUCUGUAUGUGUUACGGUUCGCACAAGCUGGUGUCUAAGUUGGGAGUAGUGGUGGUGUACUUUUUCGGAUAUCGAGUGGUGGAACGAUAUUCCCCACAUGUUGCCACUCCUGUCAGGUGGGGCCUUGAUAGGCCAAGUGAGAUUUUCGGGUCUAGGCGAGUGUCAUAACUGUCGGCGCCCAGGCCACUCUCUCUACUUAGGGCACGAAAGCUAUUGCGAGUGUCUCUACGGAGACGGUACUUAGACCAGCUACGGUCGCGACUUCAGUGGGGCUACUUGGGUGUAGCCUAGGGUUUGGAUAGCGGUCAUUUCGGCGACUGCAUUGUAAGUGUUGCUUUCGCAGAUCUUUGGGUAGGGUUGUGAUGCCUACCUAUCCUCCUUGAUUGCUGAUUGGAAUCAGCGGUUCGGAUCUUUUGACAUUUUCCUCGUUCAUUUUUCCUAUUAGAGUCGAAUUGACACAGUUUUGGUGUCAAGUUUCGUUGAGGCAUACAUCGUAUGCGAUUGUUCUAACACCUAAAUUGGUGUCAGGGGAUAGUAGUUGGUCAUAGGUUUCAUCUUGAUUCGAAAGACUCCAGGUUAUUGUCGGAUUCUCGAAGCUUCGAUUAUAGCUCGGUUGAGGUGCAAAAAUCGGUUAGAGAAACCGUUUUCAAAAGCCUCAGUUAGUAUGGUUCGCGACUUAGUGUCGCUAACAUCUUUCGGAUGUUGAAAAUUAUAGGACUCCCUUUGAGUCGGUUCAGGGUCGUUCUGAUUUCGAAUGUCGACUUGUAAAAUCGAUGUAAUGGUUGUGAACUCUUGGUUCAGUAAAGAGGUAUCAGGUGGCUUGAUACUUCGACGUGUCACACUUCCAAUUCGUUGUUGGUAGUGAAUCUUCGGAUAUUUCGCUUUUCUUUUGAUAAGUACAUUGGCUGCAGACAAUAUACUGUCGAAAGUUAGGAUGAAAUACCCAUUUCCCGUGUGAAACCUUUGGAUUGGGUCGGUGUCUUCCCUAGUUGUUUAUAAGAACGCUUGAGUCUCUGACCUUGUGGCGAGCCUUGGAUUAUUCCUUGGCAGGUUUUUGCACAGUUGACUUAUCGUCACUUCUGAUGGUUUUGACUUUGGUCUGAGUCUAGGUGAUCGUUGGUCCUAUUGUUGUGCCUUCCACAGCUAAGAGUUUCUUGGGUAGUAGUCUCAGUUUGUGUCGUGAGGUUCAGAAUCAGUCGUAGAGGGACUUGAGUCUGGUGGUCGGCUUUGAUUGUCAUCGUAUGUGAUAGAGUAUAAGAUUGUAAUUUGGCUUAUCGUGCAAACCUUAGAAUGUUAUGCUUGUCCAAUUAUUUGGUGAUAGGUGCGCCAGGAUCUCAAUGAGACAAGUAAUCGGGUGUUGCUGGGAACAUCGAUCGCUAGGGUCCAUGGUAGGACGGCAGCGACAGGGUCUUGUGGAGACAGGUGUUGAGCAUCACCGAUGGUUAGUAUCGCAAUUGCGAUUUGCGACCUGUCCAUCAAGUGAUGGACUUGCAAAGAGCAAUUGGUGGUCUGUUGGUACCGGAUUAAGUUUGAGGGGACAAAAUUGUCUAGCUUAAUUGGUAUUGUCAGUUGGAUCUUUUGGUCAGAUGUAAAGUGAGGUCUUGGACCUAGGGCUAUAGAUUGUCGCAGGUGACCUUCCGUUAUUGGAGGUUUUGGCAGUUUGUGUAGUUACUGGUGGGAGACUGUGGUCUCCAAGGUGAGAGUUUUGACUCAGGUCUUAGAACAACGUUUCUUAUUCGCUCGUGGUGAGCAGGUUGACGUUGUUGGAUAGUCGGAGUUUUUUGUUUCAGUCUACUUAAAUAGACUCUAGAUUAAAGUGGUUGUCUCGUGACUUUUCUACGUGAACUUGCGACGUAAUCGAGUCGGCUAUGGCUAUGCGAACCAAGGUAGAGUGGACCUAAAUUUCUGAAUGUUGCUUAAUUAUCUCAGAAUUGGCAAUUUGAGUUCGGAUAAUCCUUCUCGCGGGACUAUUUUUGCCCGCAGGUUAUAGGAUGAUGUUAAUCCCAGUGAGUUUUGGUCCGUAGAUUUUGGGUUGGUAUGUUUAUUCGUCUUGUAAGAGUGGAACCGCAGUCCUUAUCUUCCCUUCUUAGAAGUUUGAUCUAUCCAAAUCCAAAUAUGUAUGAAUGACCAAUACAUUGGUGGAGCAAUGUCUGAUUAUGAUUUCAGUGGGUACGUGGUCAAGUUUCGGGGGUCAAGUUUCGGGGACGAAACUUCUUUUAAGGGGGGGAUAAUGUAAGGCCUGAGAUUUUUACAGUGCAACUAAACUCUCUGUUGACGAUGUUUAUAUGUGUAAUUUAAUUACAUAAGCACUCGUCAAGUUUCAGGAGAAAAUGAGCUAGAAUGGAGAAGUUACGCGAUUAUUAGUUUUCACUUAAGUGAAUAGUAGCUCCGGUUUUUCGAAGAAGCCACGGAGUAGAGUUGGCUUUCGGCGCGUAUCGGACUCCGUUCAUAGCGAUCCAAUAGCUUGUUUCGACCGGUUCAGUUAUUCUGGAACCAAUGACACUGACGGAUUUCAGAUUUGAUGCACGGUUAUCGAGAAAAAGGGGUUUUAUCGAAAAGAGGAUUUUCGCUCUUUGCUGUACUUGCAUAAUGAGACUCCUCGUGCUCUGCGCUUGUGACCUGGGGUUAGGUGAGAGUUGUUUCUGGUACCUACUGGGGGUAGGGAAUUCAAUUUGAAUUUGGAUUAAAGGUUUUAGGGUUUAUACAUAGGUCUAUGUGUAAUUUGUGAGUUAGUUGGAGAACGGAUGGGUUUGGUCGCAAAUCGGCAGGUAAAUCGGAUGAAACGAAAUCGUAGGUUUAUUGUUCCCGUCGUACUGAACGCGAUGGCUCAAUCCAUUCGGAAUUCUGAUGAACGGAUUGCCGGAUAUCGCACGAUGUUCGAAAAGGGGU
RNAcentral lists this long non-coding RNA (7264 nucleotides) under Ananas comosus (pineapple). RNAcentral describes it as "long non-coding RNA (ACOM_LNC044520)". Lineage: Eukaryota; Viridiplantae; Streptophyta; Magnoliopsida; Poales; Bromeliaceae. The record is from RNAcentral.